GGUAUUUCCGGUUAGAAUAUCUACAAAGUGGUUUGUAAACAGUGUUUUACUGCAGUCAAGCUUGGAUACCUUACGCAGCAUAGAACAAUCAGUCGGCGACAAAAUAUUUUAGAAAAUGACUGGACGGCGAAAGUCCGCAUAUGAUUUGUGCCUUCACAAACACGAUGUCAUUUGUGAUUUUAUGUACAAUCUGUUGCCAUGUCGCUACUUUGAAAGAGACAAGAUUCAGAGUGAUCCUACUAACAGCAAAGGCAUUAUGUGAGAUAGUGAUCAGACAUGGAUAACUACUUGUCUAGACUUGCCACGUUCUUUUCCUUCCCGUUCACAUCACCUGUUUCAACAACUUCUCUGGCCGAGUCAGGUUUUCAUUAUACUGGAAAUAAAGACGAGGUUGCUUGUCAUCGUUGUCUGUUGAGAUAUAGUGGGUGGCAGAGACAGGACAAUCCAAUGGCUAUCCACAUUACGAUGUCUCCUAAUUGCACAUUUGUGUUAAAGGCAAAUGACGAAGUGUGUAAUGGCAGUCACUGUAACUUUUCUGUUGGUGAUGUAAGUCCACAGGAGAAAAUAGAAUGCAACGGUGGUGCCAUCGGCGGACCAUUGGAUGGUGCUAUGAACAAAACAAAAGGGUUAAUAAAACAAGACAAGACUGUUUCUGGCCAACAGUCAUCAACUGUAAGUUACCGGGAAACUGACGAUUCUUUGUUCGCAACGAGAAAUGCUAAUUUUCCGCACAAAGUGAUUGACUCUAAUCUGACACCAUCAUCAGAUACUAUUACUUCAUCUACGAGUCAAACCCUGACCAAUGAACAUUCCGUUGCAGAAUUCGACGCGUUGAGCCAAAACAUACCUGAUCGUUUAACAGGAGGGCAUAGUGCACAACCUCUUGUGCACACGAAUCGACCGGAAACCGACUCACUGGAACCUGAGAUCCAUAGAUCCGGAGAGGACAUUCCUAAUACUAUAAGGACAGGUCAUGCUCCUGUUAAUAAUCUGGAAACCAAUCAUGACAUUUCCUCUCAAGCAUCGCAAGCGCUGAACGCAGUCAACCCGCGCUAUCCACAGUUUGCAGUACUUGCCGUACGGUUUACAUCAUAUAAAAAUUGGCCAACACAUCUAAGGCAAAAACCGGAGGAACUAGCAAAAGCUGGACUCUUUUAUGAAGGUACCAGCGACUACGUAAGAUGUUUCUACUGCGCAGGAGGUCUACGUGAAUGGGAACCAGAAGACGACCCCUUUAUUGAGCAUGCCAGGUGGUUUCCGUUCUGUGAGUUUAUGAGACUGAUAAAGGAUGACCAGUUCAUUAUGGCGGUUCAAGCAGGAACAAUCAAAGCAGCACCCCAGGAACAAUCGCAAAAACCCGAAGCACCGAAAACGAAAUAUUCGUUCGAUGAUCCAGCUGUCCUUAGUGUAAUGGAAAUGGGUUACAACGAAGAAACCAUAGCGAAGGCCAUCAAAUUAUUCAGCAAACGACAAGGUAAGACACUGAGUGCUGAAAUACUACUGUCUCUUGUUUGGGAGAUAGUGGAAAAUGACGGGGUUGUCUCCGAUGAAGAGCAUGGCAGUAGGGCAAAUGAAAAUGUGCCUGACGUGUUACACGGAGAAGUUGAUGAUAAAAACAGAGACAACGGUGUGUCUUUCGGAGAAAGCAGAGUAGAGGGUUUUAUUGCCACAGAUGUAGUUCAGCUUCAAGAGGAAAACCAAGAAUUGCGAGACAGGAAGACAUGCAAGGUGUGUCUUGACGAGGAAGCUAGUAUCGUGUUCCUUCCGUGUGGUCACCUGGUCACUUGUCCGAUGUGUGCUUCAGCCUUGAGGAAGUGUCCAAUAUGUCGGACUUUUAUUAGAGGAACUGUAAAGGCUAUUGUAUCCUAACCGAACUUCAGUGUAUUUGCGAACUAUCAGUAGUUUUAAUAUCUGCCUCAUUGGCUGAUCACCUCGCUUAUGUUUAACAGCUGUUUAUCGGAAAAGGAGUGGACUGUUCAGAACAUGUUUAACCUCAUAUAUAUAUUAUGUAUAUGUAUUGGUAAAGAAGUAAUAACGAUAAUGUUUAGAAUAUUUCUUUCGGUUUUUGGGGAUUAGGUGUUUAGGUCAUGUGUUUUUUUCGGCGUGUUCUGUAAUAGGUUAGGACACCAGCUAUUAUUGUUCUAGCUAUGAAGUUGUUAGUCUAAUGUAAAACCAUCUAAACGUUCUAUUUAUGUAUUGUAAUAUAGAUACAAUUAACGACUUGAUCAACAUGAUGUGAUAUUCAGACGUGUAAUAGCUUUUAGAUAUUUAGUAGGGAAAGUUUAUUAUUUCAACUGUUGUACAAAAUAUUGGACAGUUUAACAGGUGUUAGCGAAUAAACGCGGGUUAUUGAUGUUAGGUCCAUAUGUCAUCUUUAAAAUCAUUCAUCAAAACCGUGUCGUUACAUACCGGUGAUAUGACCACGCGUGUAUUUCAUACACGCGCAACCUUCUAUGGUUUUAGCGUUGGCCUUCUUAUUUUCAUAAAAUAAUCGUAUUGAGGACGAAUCGUAACAGUAUAUACAUGAAGUUAGAAACGUGUGGACAAGUUAAAGUCAACGGUGAAGACAAUUUUAUGAUGCUACAAUAGAGACACCGGAAACGUUCCUAUUUCCGGGAAUUUUUCGAAAUAUGCACCCUGUACAUCGAAAUACCGAACUCCAGUGUUUUGUCAAGAGAAAUAUGCUACUUAUUAAGCACUUUUGACCUAAAAUACCUCCCUUAAACUUCCAAAGUGCUUGAAAUAAGUUACGUCACAUUUCGCCGUACUUUGACCCGCAUUUUGCCAGUGUUGCAGUUUGCGGCACAGUUCCAUCCCGACAAUACUGUCGCUACCUUCAGUGAAGAUAGCGAACAAUACUUACAGGUAUGUGGUGUGUGGAUUAAAGAUUACAACUUUCGAAAUCCAAAAUGUGCGCUUUCGGUAAACGUAUUUACUCUGCAACCUUCGAUUUUCGCAUGACAAAGCCGAAGGAUUCGGAUGAGCUAUUUGAUUUGUUCAAUGCAUUCAAAACUGACCAUUUUUAAAACAUCUAGACAAAUGAUAUAUUUGCUUUGAAAAUCGUCAAAGAGCUAGUCUUGUGAUCAAACCAGGUUCAUUUACCACAGCUAUGCCAUGGUAUUAAUUUUUAUCUUCAAUCAUAGAUCCAUAGAAUGAAAUAUAGUCUACGUCAUCGGCGAAUCAUGCAUGAGUAUAUAUAGAUUCUAUCUUUAUGUGACUAUGUACCCUUACAUGUACCUUGUGUAUAAUGUAUAUGAUUUGAUUUAUUCCUUAUAUUGAAAUGUGUUCGUGUAACAUUGGCUUCAGUUAACACAUACUAUCACAUCGGUCUAUUUCACGGGACCGAGGUCGAUGCAUAAUAUAUAAGUAUUCAGUGCAUUUUUGUUGCAUUUUGUUCAAUAUUUUUCAAAUUCGAAAUUCGCAACAAAAAGAGAAGAUAAAUUUUGGUCUCAUUUUCUGUACAAAAUCUCGAAACAAUGAACGCCCUU
Molecule: unclassified non-coding RNA, 3488 nt
Filed under: Mizuhopecten yessoensis (Yesso scallop)
Lineage: Eukaryota; Metazoa; Mollusca; Bivalvia; Pectinida; Pectinidae
Description: putative inhibitor of apoptosis, transcript variant X4
Source: RNAcentral